Molecule: long non-coding RNA, 1004 nt
Filed under: Monodelphis domestica (gray short-tailed opossum)
Lineage: Eukaryota; Metazoa; Chordata; Mammalia; Didelphimorphia; Didelphidae
Description: lncRNA (ENSMODG00000038118.1)
Source: RNAcentral
GGGGCACAGAGGCAAGGGAGGGUAGCCUACCAGGGCUGGGGAGCAGGGACUUGAACAACCUUUAGAUGGAGGAGGAUACCUUAUAAAGGUCUCUUUUAUGGGGCUCUUCUCUUACUCUACUCACCUCUUGUCUUCAUCUCCCACUUGGUCUAGUUGGGAGUGGGGAGAGCAUAUUUUGCAUUGGGACCACCAAGCCUUGAAACAGUAGGCCAGGCACUGCUCUCCCCACAAACUACAGAGAGAGAGAGAGAGAGAGUUCCCAGUCAUGUGAGGGGAAGGACUGGGGCUUCAGAUGACUUCAUCCAAAGAUCCUCAGCCCAGUGAAGAGGUGCCAUGGGGAGGAUAUGGAGAGGAUCCAGUCCAGCCUGGAGGCUUUUAGGAAGAGAUUCAUUGAGAGAUGCCAGGGGUGGAGUUUCGAAGGGAGGAGGUGAAGUGGUACCAGGCUUUCCUCUGACAUCACCUGACUGAGUCUCAGGGAGGGGCUGGGCAGCUUGCAGGACACAAAUAGCCCUGUGGACCCUGCUGGUCCCAAAGCGCUCCCAGCCUCCUUCAGCCCAGAGCCUCAGGAGCCAACCAUCACCACCAUGAGACCUUUCCUUGUUGCCUUCCUUCUGGUCACCCUGGCUGCUUGCUCCUAUGAAGCUAAUAUUUGUAGGCCUUUGGGCCAAAUUUCUGAAAUAAGCAAGGAAUCACAAAAUAGAACUUCCUCUACAUUUGAUAAAGACGUUUGGAGUAUAGUGGACAAACUACUUCGGUCAACGCAAUAUAAGAUACGUGUCUAAUCAGAAGUGAAAUAUAAAAUCAUGUUCCUAAAGGAUGACUCAUCUUCACCUUUAUCUCUCUGAGCAAAUAUCAAAUUGUAACUAGCCUUCUGGAUUUUCUGUUCCUCUUGUCAGUGAAGAACCUAAUUCCUGUAGAAUGUAAUGAGAAAAACAGCCUGUGAUCCUGAGGUCUUGUUUUAAAUCUUUCUGUCAAUAAAUCAAAUGCAAAGCAAUUCUGGUCCA